UCUGCCCAGUGUUAUAUAAUAAACGGCCGUUAAUACGCUAAGGUAGCAUAAUCAAUUGUUCCUUAAUUGGGGACUAGAAUGAAGGGAAGAAUACGGGUAAACUUUCUUUAGAUGAGUUAUAAAAAUUAAAAUUCUUAUGAAAAUGUAAGAAUAGUAAUUAAAGACCAAAAGACCCUAGUGAGCUUAAAUUUAUAGAAGGUUUCUUGGUAUAAAUUUUUAUUGGGGGGGUAAGGGAUAUACAUCCUUUUUGUUUAAUUAAACUUGUUAAACUAGAGUAAAGUUACCAUAGGGAUAACAGGCCUAAAUUUUUUAAGAGUUCACAUUAACAAAAAAUUUUGGCACCUCGAUGUUGGCUUAAGAUAAAGUCCAGGNUAGAGGUUU
This 381-nucleotide ribosomal RNA is filed under the name Ophryotrocha macrovifera. RNAcentral describes it as "partial 16S ribosomal RNA". It matches the Rfam family "Bacterial large subunit ribosomal RNA", at positions 1858 to 2561 of the family's 2925-position model. Lineage: Eukaryota; Metazoa; Annelida; Polychaeta; Eunicida; Dorvilleidae. The record is from RNAcentral.